RNAcentral lists this ribosomal RNA (898 nucleotides) under Salinicola salarius. RNAcentral's name for it is "bacterial SSU rRNA". It matches the Rfam family "Bacterial small subunit ribosomal RNA", at positions 55 to 944 of the family's 1533-position model. Lineage: Bacteria; Pseudomonadati; Pseudomonadota; Gammaproteobacteria; Oceanospirillales; Halomonadaceae. The record is from RNAcentral.
AUGCAAGUCGAGCGGCAGCACGGGGAGCUUGCUCCCUGGUGGCGAGCGGCGGACGGGUGAGUAAUGCAUAGGAAUCUGCCCGGUAGUGGGGGAUAACGUGGGGAAACCCACGCUAAUACCGCAUACGUCCUACGGGAGAAAGCGGAGGCUCUUCGGACUUCGCGCUAUCGGAUGAGCCUAUGUCGGAUUAGCUGGUUGGUAAGGUAACGGCUUACCAAGGCGACGAUCCGUAGCUGGUCUGAGAGGAUGAUCAGCCACACUGGGACUGAGACACGGCCCAGACUCCUACGGGAGGCAGCAGUGGGGAAUAUUGGACAAUGGGCGAAAGCCUGAUCCAGCCAUGCCGCGUGUGUGAAGAAGGCUUUCGGGUUGUAAAGCACUUUCAGCGAGGAAGAAAGCCUUUGGGUUAAUACCCCAGAGGAAGGACAUCACUCGCAGAAGAAGCACCGGCUAACUCCGUGCCAGCAGCCGCGGUAAUACGGAGGGUGCGAGCGUUAAUCGGAAUUACUGGGCGUAAAGCGCGCGUAGGUGGCUUGGCACGCCGGUUGUGAAAGCCCCGGGCUCAACCUGGGAACGGCAUCCGGAACGGCCAGGCUAGAGUGCAGGAGAGGAAGGUAGAAUUCCCGGUGUAGCGGUGAAAUGCGUAGAGAUCGGGAGGAAUACCAGUGGCGAAGGCGGCCUUCUGGCCUGACACUGACACUGAGGUGCGAAAGCGUGGGUAGCAAACAGGAUUAGAUACCCUGGUAGUCCACGCCGUAAACGAUGUCGACUAGCCGUUGGGACCUUUAAGGACUUAGUGGCGCAGUUAACGCGAUAAGUCGACCGCCUGGGGAGUACGGCCGCAAGGUUAAAACUCAAAUGAAUUGACGGGGGCCCGCACAAGCGGUGGAGCAUGUGG